RNAcentral lists this microRNA precursor (156 nucleotides) under Amborella trichopoda. RNAcentral describes it as "MIR8565 microRNA precursor family". It matches the Rfam family "MIR8565 microRNA precursor family". The record is from Rfam by way of RNAcentral. Lineage: Eukaryota; Viridiplantae; Streptophyta; Magnoliopsida; Amborellales; Amborellaceae.
CCCACACCCAUGUGUGUAGGAUCCCAAAGGAUCACCAUUAAAUUUGGCACAGAUAUCUAGAAAAGUUAUCACAUGGGUGUGGGACUUGACUUUUCUAGAGAUCUGUGCUAAAUUUAAUGGUGAUCCUUUGGGGGGUCCUAAACAUAUGGGUGUGGG